Molecule: transfer RNA, 62 nt
Filed under: Orthione mesoamericana
Lineage: Eukaryota; Metazoa; Arthropoda; Malacostraca; Isopoda; Bopyridae
Description: tRNA-Ser
Source: RNAcentral
AGCCACUUAGCUAUAUUUAAGUGAAUGUUUUGAAAGCAUUAGAAAUUUUAUUUUAGUGGCUU